CAAAGUAUAGUUUAAAGUAAAACAUCUUCUUUACACGAAGAAAUUACUCGUUCAACCCGAGCUACCUUGA
Molecule: transfer RNA, 70 nt
Filed under: Epinephelus aeneus (white grouper)
Lineage: Eukaryota; Metazoa; Chordata; Actinopteri; Perciformes; Serranidae
Description: tRNA-Val
Rfam family: tRNA
About the family: Transfer RNA (tRNA) molecules are approximately 80 nucleotides in length. Their secondary structure includes four short double-helical elements and three loops (D, anti-codon, and T loops). Further hydrogen bonds mediate the characteristic L-shaped molecular structure. tRNAs have two regions of fundamental functional importance: the anti-codon, which is responsible for specific mRNA codon recognition, and the 3' end, to which the tRNAs corresponding amino acid is attached (by aminoacyl-tRNA synthetases). tRNAs cope with the degeneracy of the genetic code in two manners: having more than one tRNA (with a specific anti-codon) for a particular amino acid; and 'wobble' base-pairing, i.e. permitting non-standard base-pairing at the 3rd anti-codon position.
Source: RNAcentral